RNAcentral lists this non-coding RNA (166 nucleotides) under Clostridium cuniculi. RNAcentral's name for it is "Lysine riboswitch". It matches the Rfam family "Lysine riboswitch aptamer". Rfam says of the family: Riboswitches are metabolite binding domains within certain messenger RNAs that serve as precision sensors for their corresponding targets. Lineage: Bacteria; Bacillati; Bacillota; Clostridia; Eubacteriales; Clostridiaceae. The record is from RNAcentral.
AAGAUAGAGGUUGCAAUAUUAAAGAGUAAUAUUAUGGAGAUAAGCACGAUGAAUUAAUAUGAAAGGUAAUAUUGCCGAAAUAUAUAGAGGAUGCUUUAAAUCUAUAUAUUGGGUUUGCAUAAAAUAUGUGCAAAACUGUCACAAUAUAAUUGUGGAGAGCUAUCUU